UAAAACCGGAGUCGGUGCCAACCCCGUCUACUCUUUAUACAAGAGAAAGCUAGGGUUACAGAGUUCAAUUGUUAACGCUCGACGAUUAUUUUCUCUUCACCAGGUUAGGGCCCCCACAAUGGACAACAUUGUAGAUUCUCUAAAGAUUGCAUAUCAAGAGUUUGUUGUCGCAGUAGCUAGCGUGCUUGCUGCCAAGGAUAGUUCCGGGGGUCAAAAAUCAGCAGAUAUGGAUGUUGCUCUGGAAAACUUCAAGCAGCGUUGGGAAUUGUUCCGAGUUGCUUGCGAUCAAGCUGACGAGUUCGUGGAGUCUGUUAAGCAAAGGAUAGGCUCAGAGUGCUUGGUUGAUGAAGCCACUGGUUCAGUGGAUGGAAAGCGAGGGCAGGCCGUCACAACAGGUAUUCUACCAAUUAGUGCAGUUCGGUUGGAACAAAUGAGUAAAGCUGUCCGAUGCCUGGUGAUUGAAUUGCAGCAGCGUUCUGGAACUGCUGGUGGUUCAUCACAUCCCCACCCUUAUGCUACUUUUGAUGCUAGAUUGUCUGAUGCUGCAGCUCAAUAGUUUUAGGUUGGAAAAGGUCAGGAAAUGCAGCUUUGCUGGUUCAUCAAAAUCAAAGUCGACCAUUUUCUCUCCUGAUGUUCCUGAAUGCAUCACAAACAUGAACUAUGUACACAUCAUUAAGACAUUUUGGAAAGGAUUUAAUUUUCAUGGUGUUUAGAAAGAUCUUGCCUUUGGAGACGUAGUUGAAGCAAUUUUGGCACGCUAAGUGACUAUUUUUGAAGAUGCAAAUGGCAUUUAUGUACAGAGGAAGCCAGGAAGGUAUACUAGCUCCAAUCAUCCUUUUUCUAGUUUUAUAUUACCCAGAGAAAAAGAACCCUUAUUUUAUCAGGGAAAAAAUAAAAUAACAGUUUCUUGUUUCAAAGAGUUUAGAUUACUUUUGUUACAUAUUUUCCUUUGAAGAUACAGAUUUGUUCUGUUGAUAAUUGCUGGCUGGUUGAAUUUUUUUCCUUUUCUUCA
Camellia sinensis is the source of this 1012-nucleotide RNA transcript. It is a transcript of the gene named mediator of RNA polymerase II transcription subunit 32, with no coding region annotated. Lineage: Eukaryota; Viridiplantae; Streptophyta; Magnoliopsida; Ericales; Theaceae. The record is from RefSeq and is a predicted model, not a curated record.